CCCUUAGAUGUUCUGGGCCGCACGCGCGCUACACUGAUGCAUUCAACGAGUUUCUUCCUGGUCCGAGAGGAAUGGGUAACCUUUUGAAAGUGCAUCGUGAUAGGGAUAGACUAUUGCAAUUAUUGGUCUUCAACGAGGAAUUCCUAGUAGACGUAGUUCAUCAGACUGCAUCGAUUACGUCCCUGCCCUUUGUACACACCGCCCGUCGCUCCUACCGAUUGAACGUUCCGGUGAGACCUUGGGAUUUGGUCUUUGGUACUUUAUUGUGCCGUUGACCGAAAAACUUGAGCAAACCUUAACGUUUAGAGGAAGGUGAAGUCGUAACA
RNAcentral lists this ribosomal RNA (326 nucleotides) under uncultured eukaryote. RNAcentral's name for it is "partial 18S ribosomal RNA". It matches the Rfam family "Eukaryotic small subunit ribosomal RNA", at positions 1470 to 1796 of the family's 1831-position model. The record is from RNAcentral.